AGCAGCCGCGGUAAAUUCCAGCUCCAAUAGCGUAUAUUAAAGUUGUUGCAGUUAAAAAGCUCGUAGUUGAAUUUCGGGAUUUUACCGUUGGUCGGGCUAUCCAGUCUGUACUAGCGUGUAGAAUUUCUACCUUCUGGGGAACCCAUCAUGUUAUUAAUUUAGCGUGGUGGGAAACCAGGACCUUUACCUUGAAAAAAUUGAGUGUUCAAAGCAGGCUUAACGUCUGAAUACAUUAGCAUGGAAUAAUAAAAUAGGACGGUGGUCCUGUUUUGUUGGUUUCUGAAUCACCGUAAUGAUUAAUA
This 302-nucleotide ribosomal RNA is filed under the name uncultured Scutellospora. RNAcentral describes it as "SSU rRNA". It matches the Rfam family "Eukaryotic small subunit ribosomal RNA", at positions 569 to 874 of the family's 1831-position model. Lineage: Eukaryota; Fungi; Glomeromycota; Glomeromycetes; Diversisporales; Gigasporaceae. The record is from RNAcentral.